RNAcentral lists this small nuclear RNA (159 nucleotides) under Callithrix jacchus (white-tufted-ear marmoset). RNAcentral describes it as "U4 spliceosomal RNA (ENSCJAG00000040571.2)". The stretch from base 1 to 70 matches the Rfam family "U4 spliceosomal RNA". The record is from RNAcentral. Lineage: Eukaryota; Metazoa; Chordata; Mammalia; Primates; Cebidae.
AGCUUUGCGCAGUGGCAGUAUCGUAGCCAAUGUGGUUUAGCCGAGGCUCGAUUAUUGCUAAUUGAAAAGAGUAUGACUUGAACAACACAACAAAAAUCUGGUUCCUUUACUCCUGUCCUCACGGGGUGCUAAGGAGCAAGUUGGCUGAUUUUUUCAUGU